GCGCCAGUAGCUCAAUUGGAUAGAGCAUCAGACUUCGGAUCUGAGGGUUAGGGGUUCGACUCCUCUCUGGCGCACCA
This 77-nucleotide transfer RNA is filed under the name Nitratifractor salsuginis DSM 16511. RNAcentral describes it as "tRNA-Arg (TCG) (tRNA-Arg-TCG-1-1)". It matches the Rfam family "tRNA". Rfam says of the family: Transfer RNA (tRNA) molecules are approximately 80 nucleotides in length. Their secondary structure includes four short double-helical elements and three loops (D, anti-codon, and T loops). Further hydrogen bonds mediate the characteristic L-shaped molecular structure. tRNAs have two regions of fundamental functional importance: the anti-codon, which is responsible for specific mRNA codon recognition, and the 3' end, to which the tRNAs corresponding amino acid is attached (by aminoacyl-tRNA synthetases). tRNAs cope with the degeneracy of the genetic code in two manners: having more than one tRNA (with a specific anti-codon) for a particular amino acid; and 'wobble' base-pairing, i.e. permitting non-standard base-pairing at the 3rd anti-codon position. Lineage: Bacteria; Pseudomonadati; Campylobacterota; Epsilonproteobacteria; Campylobacterales; Sulfurovaceae. The record is from RNAcentral.